GCGACAGCUCACGAUGCCCGCCUACUGGCGCCCUAGCAACCGGGUUGCGAACCAUGUUCUAUCCCGACUAAGUGGCCGUCCUGGGAGUUAUAGUGCCACUAGCCGGCCUCGGCUGUUCCCUGUCCGAGGCUCUUGUCAUUUCCGCUUAUUUCCUCCACGGGUGCCGAUUUCAUGUGUGUGUUCCCGAGUGCCUGAGCCGGCUCCCGAAAUGAGUACUCGUGGUUUCCGCGUGGGAACCAACCUCGAGCGCCAGUGGCCCGCCCUCUCCGGGCUGAGGUGGCUGCUGAGGCUGGGGCUGCUCCUGAGGCUUCAGGGCCGCCCGCUGCACGGCUUUCUACCUUCCCAGGUUAGCCGCGGUCAACUUCUGCCAGGCGGAGCGAGAAAUCGCAUUUUGUCAGAAUUGUCUUUGCUGAUCUCUUUAUUAUGAUGAAAAUUCUCUGGAUGGAAGGGUCAUCAGCUGCCGUCUCCUUUGCUACUCUGCUAGAUAUCCUUACAAUUUGGUUUAGAAUUUUAGUACCACUAACAUUUUUUGGUGCAUAUUUUGGAAAUAAAGAAAAGAUUAGUUGUCCAGUUCAGACAAACCAGAUCCCCUGUCAGAUUCCUCCAUAGAACUUCUUUACAAAACCACUUCUUGGCAUCAUAAUUGGUGGCAUUUUCCCCUUCGGCUGUAUUUUUAUUCAACUCUUUUUCAUUCUGAACAGUAUUUGAGACAGUUGGAUUUUUUUCCUGUUUCUGGUUAAUUGCUAAAAUCUACAGUGUGCUGAAGGUGGAGUAAAGUAUUUCCCCAAAGGAUUCCAAGCACAUCUCCCUUGCCCUUGAAUAUCUGUAUAUCUAUAUGAACAUCAAUUGAGAUAUAUAUGUGUGUGCCCCUAAUUACAUAAUUUUAAGCAUAUAUAUAAAAAUGUAAAAUCUCAUUGUCUGGCCUCAGUUUGUAUGACACAAAAUACUGAUUGUAUGGAAGAAAACAGAUUGGGAAACAGAUUUAUUCUAUAUCAUAUUUUCCUGAAAAGCUACCUUAAAAAGAUUUAAAUUAAAGCAAUUAGAGCAAGGGAGGCACAUUUCUUUAAAAAAUUAAAGUUGAGUACCAUACUGGUUUUUCAGAUGAAAUUUUCUUUUCCUUUUUCUCCUUCAUAUUGCUCAGAGCAUCUAAUUCCAUCAGAACUAUUGUCAAAUAAAUUUUAUGUAAAAUGUGUAUUUUUCUAAUGGGAGUUGAUUAUACAAACUGUAUUACACCUUUGUAUCUGAGUGAUCAUUUAAAAAUGCAUAUUGGUUUAGCACAUAGAGUUUAUGAAAUGCCAGAUAAUGCUCUUAUUCCUCAGUGAAAUCUGCACAUUUCUAGUUGUUGGUGGUCUAUUUCUGUUUGCUGUUCCUUGGAGGGGGGCUGAGAAUGUUCAAGUUUGACUUAGCUGUGUUUAAGUAAUAAAUCUUUGGAGUCAA
RNAcentral lists this long non-coding RNA (1437 nucleotides) under Homo sapiens (human). RNAcentral's name for it is "novel transcript". The record is from RNAcentral. Lineage: Eukaryota; Metazoa; Chordata; Mammalia; Primates; Hominidae.